This is a non-coding RNA of Biomphalaria pfeifferi, 480 nucleotides long. Lineage: Eukaryota; Metazoa; Mollusca; Gastropoda; Planorbidae. The record is from the annotation of a GenBank genome assembly.
UUUGAAAUUUUUUUUUUUUUUUUUUGUUGGGUAUUAGUUACCACUACCACUUGUAAAUCUCGUAUUUAUGAUUUGUCUGUUGAACAACAUGGAGGUCAAAGUGGAAGAAAGUGGUUGGAGAAUCACAGGGAUGGAGGGCUAUUUUUGUGUGUGCAUUAUGUUUAACAUUCAGUAAUCAUGUGUUUUGUCAUAAUGAUUCUAUUCAUAGUUUAUUAUUGAACUGACUGUGCAUGGAACUUCAAUUAAAAACAGACUUAUCAAAGUUUAACAUUAGCAGCUGUUGACUUGUUGUUCUUUAGUCACUUUUGAAUGCUCCACUUUGAGGAAACAUUUAUUAUUUUGUAAGCAGGAAUUAAAGGUAUAUAUAAUGAACCCAUUCUUUAUUAAGCUUCAGUGUUUAAAUGAGCAAAUAGCAUAUAAAGUCAUCUUGUAUUAAGUGUCUCAUAGGUUACUAUAAACUUGAUUAAAUUCAAUUCCACA